ACCAAGUUCCGAAUCAGCACGUCCUCCAGGGCGGCCGCGCGCCCCUCCCCCGCCGGCGCCCCCGCCCGGACCGCGGCCCCAACAGCCGCCGCCGCCGCCGCCGGCCCCGCGCGCUCGGCCCGGGUCUCAGCGCCGGGGCCGGGGCGGCGGACGCGCCCCAGGGGGGCAGCAGACUCCCAUCGCCGCCGGAGCGCCGACCCAACACCGUGCCCCCGACAGAGCCCGCUCCUCCGCUAAAAAUAGGCUCCCAAGGAGUCGGCCUCAUGAUGGCUCCUUGAUCCAAUUUGCUGCACAUUCUUCCCUGAAAGCCUCCCCCCACACAUACACACUCAAAGGGGGUGUCCGUGCACCGAGGCUGGACGAGGGGGAGCAGGCCGAGGUGCACAUUUUCGGGGACAACAACAUAAUCAGGAGAGAAGGAGAGAGUCCUGAAGACGGAGAAAGAAUGGUGGUCUUCAGUUUGUUCUUCACGUAGCAGAGACCCAUGCCUCUUGAAGCAUUGUGGGGAGAACUUGUAGAGGAAGGACUGCAUGGUGUACAUAGAGAGGCUCUACAUGAGACUCUGGAGUUUUCGGUCCUGGCAGAGAGUUCUGUGCCAACCUUGGCAGAAAUCAGCAGAGCCGUCUGAACUUACGGGAGCAUGAGAGCUUGGACAGUGCACACAUGGGUGAAGUCUGCUAUGGGUUGAAGACAAGAAGGAUUGAUCUAAACAACAUAAAUCAAUCUAGUUGAAGAUAAGUUUGAAGUUGGAAUCAGACAACUCAAAUUUUCCUUCUGAAGAACUACACACUUGGGUGGCCAUUAGAACCUGGAUGCAGUUAAACCAGAUGAAGAUUCUAUUUCAUCCAUUAUUUGAAGUGUGAAAAGGACAACUUUAUCAUUAGCCUUCCAUCUGCUCAUGUAAACGUGGACAUUUACCUUCAGCAAUGAUGAUGGAGUUCUGUUUUCUGGUAGACAGGAGUUUGGAUGCACAGCAGAAAAUGUGGUUGAGAAAUUGGAAAGCUACUACAAACAUACUCUGGUCUGGAGAGGCAGUAUGAAGUGUGCACUGAAGGAAGACCUGGGACUGCGUUUUAGCUCUGCCACCUCGAGGGUGAGUGAACUUGUGCAAUCAUGUUGUAACUUUUAUCUUGUCUAUCUCAAAGGGUUCUUGUGAAGAAUACAUGUGCUAAUAUGUGGGAGUUGUUAUUGUUAUCAUACGAUUUAAAGUUGAUGGUAAUAG
Myotis daubentonii (Daubenton's bat) is the source of this 1222-nucleotide long non-coding RNA. RefSeq lists it as uncharacterized. The record is from RefSeq and is a predicted model, not a curated record. NCBI's taxonomy places the organism in Eukaryota, Metazoa, Chordata, Mammalia, Chiroptera, Vespertilionidae.